AUUGAACGCUGGCGGCAUGCUUUACACAUGCAAGUCGGACGGCAGCGGGGUAGUGCUUGCACUACUGCCGGCGAGUGGCGAACGGGUGAGUAAUAUAUUGGAACGUACCGAGUAAUGGGGGAUAACCAAUCGAAAGAUUGGCUAAUACCGCAUACGCUCUGAGGAGGAAAGCAGGGGACCUUCGGGCCUUGCGUUAUUCGAGCGGCCAAUAUCUGAUUAGCUAGUUGGUGGGGUAAGGGCCUACCAAGGCGACGAUCAGUAGCGGGUCUGAGAGGAUGAUCCGCCACACUGGGACUGAGACACGGCCCAGACUCCUAAGGGAGGCAGCAGUGGGGAAUUUUGGACAAUGGGCGCAAGCCUGAUCCAGCCAUGCCGCGUGUCUGAAGAAGGCCUUCGGGUUGUAAAGGACUUUUGUUAGGGAAGAAAAAGGAGCGGUUAAUACCCGUUUCUGCUGACGGUACCUAAAGAAUAAGCACCGGCUAACUACGUG
RNAcentral lists this ribosomal RNA (490 nucleotides) under uncultured bacterium. RNAcentral's name for it is "partial 16S ribosomal RNA". It matches the Rfam family "Bacterial small subunit ribosomal RNA", at positions 30 to 507 of the family's 1533-position model. The record is from RNAcentral.